Molecule: long non-coding RNA, 1465 nt
Filed under: Lathyrus oleraceus (garden pea)
Lineage: Eukaryota; Viridiplantae; Streptophyta; Magnoliopsida; Fabales; Fabaceae
Description: Pisum sativum (pea) long non-coding RNA (PSAT_LNC024618)
Source: RNAcentral
UAAGAUUGAUCAACGCAGAAGAACCAUUAGUAGGAAGGAUCAAUAGUUACUCUGUUCAGAAGCAAGGUUUUAUGGACUCAUGGUUAUAAGGAAAGUAGUGGUUAUUGUGAUUCAAUGUAAACCCCAUUCCCAUUCCCAUUUUCAAUUGUCCCCUUUGUAAUAUUCUAUACGGAGCUACACAUUCGUAUGCUACCAUUCCAUGAAUAAAAUCUAGAUUUGCCCAUCAAAGCUUUUCAUUCGUGUUUUCUUUGUUUUCCUUCUUUUGCAAAAUGUCAUUUAUUUUUUAUGAUAUAAUUGUAAAGUUAAGGAAUACUAAACAUAUUGAAAACACAAUGACUUUGACAUUUAAAAUGAUUAAAGAAAAACCAUGUUUUUUCAAAAGUUACAAAGUCAUAAAGCACUCUUGGAUCACCAGAAAAGGAAUCUCCAUCGGGUACAACCCAUCCACUUUCUGAAGGGAUCAUCAGCCGCGUGUGUAACUGCAAGCUUGACAAAAGCAUCCAAAGGCAUCUAUCUGCAGUAAGAGUUGGCAGAGUUUCAUGUGUCAUAGAAUCCAAAUACCACUACCACAUAAAAGCUCAAUUGUGCUUGACACAUUAACCCAGUUUUCAUAAGCAUCUGUACUGCAUGCAUUGAUCAUUCAUGCAACAUAAAUCAUGCAUAACUCAAAAUGUAUCAUACUCAUCUGUAUGUCAUGCAGACUUGUUCCCAUCAACAAUUUAUCCAUUGACCCAAAGUCCAAAUUCGUUUGACACCUAUAAAGGCUGGUUCUUGUCCAACAAAAUUUAGAAGCCUUUUGAAUCCGAGAAUUACCAGAUACCAUUUCGUUUGUUACGUGAGAAUUUGUAACAUAUUUUCUUAUUCUGUGAGAAGCUAGAAUCUAUUACCUUGUUCUGUGAGAAGCCAGAAUCCACUAUUUUAUUAUGUGAGAAGUCAUAACACUUUCACUUUUUGUCACGUGAGAAUCCAUAACUUAUCUUUUUUAGUUAUGUGAGAAGUUGAAACCUUUCAUUUUUAUUACAUGAGAACCCGUAACUUACCAUUUUUUAUUGUUAUGUGAGAAGUCAGAACCUUUCAUUUUUGUUACGUAAGAAUAUGUAACUUAUCUUUUUGUUAUGUAAGAAGCUGAGACCUUUUAUCUUUGUUACGUGAGAACCCAUAACUUACCUUUUUUGUUCUGUGAGAAGCCAGAACCUUUCAUUUUCAUUAUGCGAGAAUCUGUAACUUGCCAUUUUUGUUUUGUGAGAAGCUAGAACAUUUCAUUUUCGUUACUUGAGAAUUCGUAACUAAUCAUUUUCAUUAUGUGAGAAGCCAAAACCUUUCAUUUUGUUACGUGAGAAUCAUUAACUUGUCAUUUUCGUUAUGUAAGAAACCAAGACCUUUCAUUUUAUUACGUGAGAGUAUGUAACUUGUCAUUUUCAUUUUGUGAUAAUCCAUAACCUUUCAUUUGUUUUACGUGAGAAUC